Molecule: ribosomal RNA, 497 nt
Filed under: uncultured bacterium
Lineage: Bacteria
Description: partial 16S ribosomal RNA
Rfam family: Bacterial small subunit ribosomal RNA
Source: RNAcentral
GAUGAACGCUGGCGGCGUGCCUAAUACAUGCAAGUCGAGCGAACAGACGAGGAGCUUGCUCCUCUGACGUUAGCGGCGGACGGGUGAGUAACACGUGGAUAACCUACCUAUAUGACUGGGAUAACUUCGGGAAACCGGAGCUACUACCGGAUCAUAUAUUGAACCGCAUGGUUCAAUAGUGAAAGACGGUUUUGCUGUCACUUAUAGAUGGAUCCGCGCCGCAUUAGCUAGUUGGUAAGGUAACGGCUUACCAAGGCGACGAUGCGUAGCCGACCUGAGAGGGUGAUCGGCCACACUGGAACUGAGACACGGUCCAGACUCCUACGGGAGGCAGCAGUAGGGAAUCUUCCGCAAUGGGCGAAAGCUUGACGGAGCAAUGCCGCGUGAGUGAUGAAGGUCUUCGGAUCGUAAAACUCUGUUAUUAGGGAAGAACAAAUGUGUAAGUAACUAUGCACGUCUUGACGGUACCUAAACAGAAAGCCACGGCUAACUACGUG